Molecule: ribosomal RNA, 216 nt
Filed under: uncultured bacterium
Lineage: Bacteria
Description: partial 16S ribosomal RNA
Rfam family: Bacterial small subunit ribosomal RNA
Source: RNAcentral
UAGGUAACCUGCCUCUAAGAUUGGGAUAACUUGUCGAAAGACGAGCUAAUACCAAAUAAGACCACAGUCUCCUCGGGGACAGAGGUCAAAGGUAGCCUCUAUUUAUAAGCUAUCGCUGAGAGAUGGGCCUGCGUACCAUUAGCUUGUUGGUGAGGUAACGGCUCACCAAGGCAAAGAUGGUUAGCUGGUCUGAGAUGAUGAUCAGCCACACUGGAA